GAUGAAGAACGCGGCGAAAUGCGAUACGUAAUGUGAAUUGCAAAUUCAGUGAAUCAUCGAGUCUUUGAACGCACAUUGCGCCCCCUGGUAUUCCGGGGGGCAUGCCUGUCCGAGCGUCAUUGCUGCCCUCAAGCACGGCUUGUGUGUUGGGCCCCGUCCUCCGAUCCCGGGGGACGGGCCCGAAAGGCAGCGGCGGCACCGCGUCCGGUCCUCGAGCGUAUGGGGCUUUGUCACCCGCUCUGUAGGCCCGGCCGGCGCUUGCCGAUCAACCCAAAUUUUUUAUCCAGGUUGACCUCGGAUCAGGUAGGGAUACCCGCUGAACUUAAGCAUAUCAAUAAGCGGAGGA
This 346-nucleotide unclassified non-coding RNA is filed under the name soil metagenome. Its description in RNAcentral is "partial contains 5.8S ribosomal RNA, internal transcribed spacer 2, and large subunit ribosomal RNA". The stretch from base 1 to 119 matches the Rfam family "5.8S ribosomal RNA", at positions 35 to 154 of the family's 154-position model. The record is from RNAcentral.